GAUGAACGCUGGCGGCGUGCCUAAUACAUGCAAGUCGAGCGAACGGACGAGAAGCUUGCUUCUCUGAUGUUAGCGGCGGACGGGUGAGUAACACGUGGAUAACCUACCUAUAAGACUGGGAUAACUUCGGGAAACCGUAGCUAAUACCGGAUAAUAUGUUGAACCGCAUGGUUCAACAGUGAAAGACGGUCUUGCUGUCACUUAUAGAUGGAUCCGCGCUGCAUUAGCUAGUUGGUAAGGUAACGGCUUACCAAGGCAACGAUGCAUAGCCGACCUGAGAGGGUGAUCGGCCACACUUGAACUUAGACACGGUCCCGACUCCUACGGGAGGCAGCAGUAGGGAAUCUUCCGCAAUGGGCGAAAGCCUGACGGAGCAACGCCGCGUGAGUGAUGGAGGUCUUCGGAUCGUAAAACUCUGUUAUUAGGGAAGAACAUAUGUGUAAGUAACUGUGCACAUCUUGACGGUACCUAAUCAGAAAGCCACGGCUAACUACGUG
Molecule: ribosomal RNA, 497 nt
Filed under: uncultured bacterium
Lineage: Bacteria
Description: partial 16S ribosomal RNA
Rfam family: Bacterial small subunit ribosomal RNA
Source: RNAcentral